Quercus robur (English oak) is the source of this 2510-nucleotide RNA transcript. It is a transcript of the gene named pectinesterase 31-like, with no coding region annotated. The record is from RefSeq and is a predicted model, not a curated record. The transcript is spliced from 6 exons. NCBI's taxonomy places the organism in Eukaryota, Viridiplantae, Streptophyta, Magnoliopsida, Fagales, Fagaceae.
GGUCACUCAAGAGGGUUUGCUGAAGAAAUUUAAACUAACCACUACAAUUAGCACAACUACUAUGCACCUAUUUGACCCAAGAGGCGUGAUUAAGAAGUAUGACAACCCGGAGCAAAUUCUGGAAGAUUUUUUUCAUUUAAGACUUGAAUUUUAUGAGAAAAGAAAGAAAUUUCUACUGAACAAACGUGAAAUGGAGUUGUUGAAGUUAGAAAACAAGGUUAGGUUUAUCCUUGCAAUUGUGAAGGGAGAGAUCAUUGUAAGUAAUAGGAAGAGAGCUGAUCUGUUUGUUGAGCUGCGAACGAAAGGAAACUCCAAAGUCCUUUUGGAGGAUAGAUGUUGAUGCGCUGACCAUUGAGAAGGUUCAGGAGUUAUGCACUGAAAGGGAUAAGGUCAAUAAGGAGGUUGAUGAUUUGAGAAAGGAAACUCCAAAGUCCUUUUGGAGGACAGAUGUUGAUGCUUUGGAGGGGUAACUCAAUGUAUGACUGAAAAAUUAACAAUUCCUUGUGAUGAUUUGUUUAUUUUUGUGUCUUUCUAUUUCUUGACUGUUUUUAGUUUUAUGUCCUUUAGGAGCUAGAGAAAAGUGAUGUGAGUCAGAGGAGUUAAGAAAGAAAAUGAGAGGCAAAGCAAGGGGUGAAGCUGCUAUGAAGUCUGCUAGACAAGCACCCAAGAACCCACGGAAGAACAAUAAUAAGAAGGGAAAUAAUGCAGAAUCUAUUGCAGAAGCUGUCUCGUCAUCUGUGGCUGCAAUGGAAAUUGGUAAGUGUGAAAAAAUAUUAUGUUUAUUAUAUGUAUUAGUUUUUGUUUGAUUUUUGGUUUACAUCUGCUUCAUUUACCAAAGAAAGCUCCUAAGGCAGCAAAACCCAAAGACAGAGCAGGCUCUAGGAAAGCUCCUGCUAAGGUCUGUUUCUGUUCCUAUGUUCUAUUUUUCCUUGGAAAGGAUGAGCUUAAAGAACGACUUGCUGCCUAUAACCUCGAUGCAUCUCCUGAUCAAUCAGCCGCCAUGGAGACUGAAGUGCCCAAAGUACCGGCCAAGAAGAAAGAACCUAGCAAAAGGGCUGCUGCUGCAUAGAAGAAGAAGGCCUUGGCAACUGUUUCGGAGAUAUCUGAUGAUGAUGAUGAUGAUUAUAAUGAUAUUAAUGAAAUUGAUGAUGAUGAUGAUGAUGAUGAUGAAGAUAGUGAGAUAGAAGUUGUAGCUACUCCAGAAGCCAGGAAAAAGGGCGGGGGAAAACUGGCUGCAAAUGCUAAGGCAGUUAAGGCCCCUGCAGCGGCAAAGAAGAGAGGUACAGCCAAUAAGCAGCAGCCUCAGACAUUGGGCCAGAAGCUUUUAACUGACAUGUUAAAAGCCUGCUGAAAAUUCCGGGAUUUCACCAGAGAAGAAACUGAGAAAGAUGAGGGCAUCUCCAUUCAACAAGAAAAGUGGUUCUGUGUUGGGAAGGGUUGGUAAGGUAAAUGAAGUGACUGAAAAUGAAGAAAAUUCGGGUUCUGCUUCUACUUCUGCCAGUACUGAAGAAACUAUUGAAGUUGCACCACCAAGAGCAAGACCUCAAAGGGUGAACCAUGCGCAGACAAGGUAUGUGUUGAGUGACUCUGAAAGUGAACAUGCCACUGAGGAUUCUGAAUUUGAUGAAGUGACUGAUGAAAGUGAAAACAAGAAAACAAAAACAAAAAACAAAAAUAGCAUCACCUCAUAAGAAAGCACAUUCAGGCAAUUUUUUAUGCCCAGUUGUGCUUUUGCUUGCUAAGCUUAACUUCUUUUUGUGCUUUCAGAAAGAGUAUGACAGAAUAUGAUCCGCGUCUUGUGGCUCCAACCUGCUUGUACCUGGCAUCAAAAGCAGAAGAAAGCACAGUGCAGGCCAGGCUUCUUGUAUUUUACCUUAAAAAAUUAUAUGCUGAUGAAAAGUAUGACUCAAUUAACUUGGUGCUAUGGGCCAGGUAGUUGCCCAUCAAAGAGGGUCGCAUGGGCUAGAGAAUUGAUAGACGAAGAAGCAGAACAGUUCCUCAUGCAUCGUUUCAUUGACCCAGAUUCACAAAGACCUUGGCUUGCCCAGAGAAUGGCCUUGAGGAUACCAUAUUCUGCGUAAAGUUAAUGGAAGGAGACCUGCUUAUGCUUCCCAGCAACUAAUAUAAGAUCUGCAUAAUACGUUUCAUUUUUAAGUCUUUGAUUGGUCAAGUUAUGAGAGAAUAGCAUGGUGCCUUUUGAUGUAUGAACUUCCUCUAUAGAUUGUUUGGCUUAUAUUUUGUGAACUUGUCCGAUCAGCUUGUGUUAAGAUUCUUUCAAAUAGUGUUUCAAAAGGGAUAGUAUCAUUUUGAGCAAUUCGUGACUGAUGGUUUUGUAGAAGCAAGAUGGUUUCUCCAUUUGAAAAACCAGUUUUAGUUUCUCGGAACAAGCAGUGAGCAUUUUAUAGUUGGGCAUUAAUAGGUCUCAUGUUGACUGCCAUGAAGAUCAAAACUAUAAACACAUGGGUUAUGACUUUAUGUUAAGUGCCAACUUUGGCAUCAACUUUAGCUCU